This 497-nucleotide ribosomal RNA is filed under the name uncultured bacterium. RNAcentral's name for it is "partial 16S ribosomal RNA". It matches the Rfam family "Bacterial small subunit ribosomal RNA", at positions 28 to 507 of the family's 1533-position model. The record is from RNAcentral.
GAUGAACGCUGGCGGCGUGCCUAACACAUGCAAGUCGAGCGAACAAACGAGGAUCUUGCUCGGCUGACGUGAGGGGCGGGCGGGUGAGUAACACGAGUAUACCCUACCGUUAAGACUGAGAUAACUUCGGGAGAGCUGAUAUAACACCGGAUCAUAUAGUGAACGGGAGGGUUCUAUAGUGAAAGAGGGUUUUGCUGUCACUUGUACGUGGAACCGAGCCGCAUUAGCUAGUUGGUAAGGUAACGGCUUACCAAGGCAACGAUGCGUAGCCGACCUGAGAGGGUGAUCAGCCACACUGGAACUGAGACACGGUCCAGACUCCUACGGGAGGCAGCAGUGGGGAAUCUUCCGCAAUGGGCGAAAGCCUGACGGAGCAAUGCCGCGUGAGUGAUGAAGGUCUUCGGAUCGUAAAACUCUGUUAUUAGGGAAGAACAAAUGUAUAAGUAACCAUGCACGUCUUGACGGUACCUAAUCAGAAAGCCCCGGCUAACUACGUG